AUCCUUUUGUGGUUCAUAUGAGUGAUGAUUGGGUGGGCACAUGUUUGUGUGGCAUGUUCCUCCAUUUAAACCUUGUUAUAUCAUCUGACAUGAGAAAAAUGACA
This is a small nucleolar RNA of Ochotona princeps (American pika), 104 nucleotides long. The record is from Ensembl. NCBI's taxonomy places the organism in Eukaryota, Metazoa, Chordata, Mammalia, Lagomorpha, Ochotonidae.